CAUUAGGUAGUUGGUGGGGCAACGGCCCACCAAGCCGACGAUGCGUAGGGGUUCUGAGAGGAAGGUCCCCCACAUUGGAACUGAGACACGGUCCAAACUCCUACGGGAGGCAGCAGUGAGGAAUAUUGGUCAAUGGGCGGAAGGCUGAACCAGCCAAGUCGCGUGAGGGAAUAAGGCCCUACGGGUCGUAAACCUCUUUUGCCAGGGAGCAAUGCCGUCCACGUGUGGACGGAAGGAGAGUACCUGGAGAAAAAGCAUCGGCUAACUCCGUGCCAGCAGCCGCGGUAAUACGGAGGAUGCGAGCGUUAUCCGGAUUUAUUGGGUUUAAAGGGUGCGUAGGCGGCCUGCCAAGUCAGCGGUAAAAUUGCGGGGCUCAACCCCGUACAGCCGUUGAAACUGCCGGGCUCGAGUGGGCGAGAAGUAUGCGGAAUGCGUGGUGUAGCGGUGAAAUGCAUAGAUAUCACGCAGAACCCCGAUUGCGAAGGCAGCAUACCGGCGCCCGACUGACGCUGAGGCACGAAAGUGCGGGGAUCAAACAGGAUUAGAUACCCUGGUAGUCCGCACAGU
This 567-nucleotide ribosomal RNA is filed under the name uncultured bacterium. Its description in RNAcentral is "bacterial SSU rRNA". It matches the Rfam family "Bacterial small subunit ribosomal RNA", at positions 239 to 803 of the family's 1533-position model. The record is from RNAcentral.